CCCCGCCAGUGCCCGCACCGAGCAGGCGGCUGCCUCUUCUGCCAGGCAGCCUGCGACAGGAUGAGAGAAACAUCGCCUGGGGAGGGUUAGUUUGGACACUAGGAGAAAUUUCUUCACAGAAAAGCCUGAUUCCUCGAAGCCCUUGACACUGGAAAUUGGGAUUUCCCCGUGCCAUUAGCGCUUAGCAGUAGGCGCUCCAGCCCAGCCAAGAACAAGGGAUUAAGAGCCCUUCAGAGGGAUGGAGAGGAGAACUGGAGGAACAAAAAGGUGAAGAUCACAGGUUGAGGUAAGAACAAUUUACUAGAAACAACAAAGAAAUAAGAAAACUACAACAACAACAAUAGUAACAAGAGUAUUCAGGAUAGGUGAACCAUUCACAUGUGAUUGUGCAAGGAUUCACCUCUGAUUGCUCAAAGUACAGCUGGGUGCUGUAAAAAUUACCCCUGUCCUGGCCAGAACCAGGAAAGAGGCAAAGAAAUGAAAGACUCAUGACAGUCAAUGAUGAACACUCCAGAGUGAGAGCAACAUUAAACCAGCAUGUCCAUAUAUGAUGUUUAUUAGCACAUACAUGUUUAUGUAAGGUUCUGUUCUCUAUAAAGUGGCAAUCAAGAACUGAACAACUAUGGGUUUGGAUUAUUUUUUCCUAUCAGAAAAUACAUUUUGUCUGUAUAUGAACAUUGCAUGGACCCUUUUGAAAAAAAAUCUGAAGAGACUUAUCAGCAUCUUUGCAAAAACAAGUCCAAAUUCCUUUUAAUUUUAAAAUAUAAUAAACUUUCCCUGUUCAGACAGGUGAGUCUCUCUGAAACAACUAUGCACAGUCCUGUUUAGGAAGUUACAGAGUUUGAUAAACUUAUAGAACAGUAGAAAACAAUCCAGACUGAACCCAAGUUUUUGACAUUACACUUGGGAAAUUACUACCUUUGCAAACAUUAACAUCUCCAUGCCUAAGCCCUCAGUUCCAACAGUCCUGUACGUUCAUGCAUGGAAGAACCCGUAAGAACACUGACAUGCCAGAAUGUUUGCAGGAUCACUGCCCGUGAAAGGUUAUUCACAGACACAGUCUCAGGCAAAAUCAUGCCCUCAGAGUUAUUACAACCCUGCCAAAGCCAUGGAAAGCCAACAGUUUUCUACUGUGUGAAGAACAAUACAGCUAUUCUGGACAAGAUUUAUUCUGAAAAAGUAGAGGUUGAGGAUAGUCAUAAUUUUCUUUUCAGAGCCCCGAAGGCUGCUGUGCCUGACCAUGAAGGUUGCCACAGAAUGUAUCAACCCACCGGAAAAGCUAAAGGCAGAGAAAUCAGAAGCUGAAGGUGAAAGUGCAAACUUUUCCUUCUGUGUGCCCCACUCCAUAUAAUCCAUGGAUUGUUUCCUUUGCAAUGUUUUCUUCACCGCAGAUUAAAAUAAGAAUCCUGGAAUCACUGGACUUACAAGCCAGCAAAAGCACUUGAUACUGCACUGCAGCCACAGAGGAGUCCAAAGCAGCCAUGUCUGUCUAUGUCCUGGGCAGUGAUUGUGCUUCUGGGCUGCAGAACCCUCUGUGAAGGUCUGCAGGGAGGGCACAUGUCUGGGCAGGGGGGUGUCACACACUGUUUGUUUAUCACUGAUUUUCCCCAGCAAUGGUGAUAGCUCCACAGCACCUCAACAUCCAGUGAUAAAGACCUUGUUUUCUCCUUCUGGAAAUUACCAGCCAGAGGGAUGUGGACCCAAAUCAGCAGCUGCACUUCAAGGUGUCAGAGACCUGAGAGCAAGGACCUUCCUGUGUAGGUUCUCACCUUGGGGAAUUAAGAGUCAUUUUAGGCAGAACAAAAGUUCUUGGUUUCUCACCUCAGCUCACUCUCCAGUUGACAUGAUGUACAUUUCUCCUGACAUCUACAUCUACCCUGAUCUUCCCCAGCUCCCUGCCCUCAGCAUUCUGUAAACCUUCUUUAAUGUCCUGCCUGGCACUGCAGGCUUACCUCCUGUCUUCUCUGACAGCAUGAAGCAAGGAGCACACUGCCCCAUGCCCACUUGAAGGAGCAAGACUCAAAAAUGAAAAAUACAAGGUCACCACAAACCUGCAUUGAAAAUGUCUCUGUCACACAAGAUAUGCCAGUCAGAGGUUUUUCAUACUGUGUGGGUGACCAUACACUGGAACUGAUUGCCCAAAGAGGCUGUGGAAUCUCCCUCACUGGAGAUAUUCCAGAACUGACUGGCCACAAUCCUGUGCCAUGACCCUGCUUGAGCAGAGAGGCUGGACCAGAUGAUUCACCAUGCUCCCUUCCAACCUGACCCAUUCUGGGAUCCUGUGAUUCUGUGAGUAGAAGUCAUGUUGCAUAGGAAGCACUCUGAGCUCUACAGAAGCUGCAGAGAGGUACAAAGCCUCUUAAAUGUGAUGGAAAAGAAGACAAAAGCAAAACUCAGGCUAGAUAUCUGUGAUCUAAUAAAAUCCCACCCAUGUCAUCAGCUGCAUUGAACUUUGCAUUGGGAAGUUUCAUGCCUGAGCAGUGGAUUCCAAUUGCAGUGAGAUUUUCUCUGCGAUCAAGACACUUAAAAUAUCCACUUUUUAAUGUUUUUAGAGUUUCUUAUGUUUUGGGUGAAAUCUCAAACAUAGAUGACACAAUAAUUGCAGGCAAAAAUACAUGUUGAGUCCUUUGAGAGGAACAGGGCUGUAUCCAUUCCAUAUGCUAACAUAAUCAGUGACAUCCAGUGUCAUUGAAAACUGUUUACAUUGUCAGUAAUAAUUCUGGAAGAAAGAGUUUUUGAGCUGCUUUUUAUUGACACAUACCUCAUUGCAGAAAUUAGCACAAAUGUAGGUAGUUGACAGAGCCAGCCACAGAGAUUUUGUUUUCUCUAAAUAAAUCUGAAUAAACAAUAAAAGGUUAAGUGCUCUUUUUUCAAAGCUUGAAACACAAGCAAACAAAUUGAAGGUAGAGAACUUAAUUAUAUCAAGCAGAAGCUACUGGCAGUUACACUCAUCAGAGCUGAAUAAUUUUCAAUUACUCUGGGAAGAGAGGUCAACAAAAUAUGUUCCCGAAUCUGUCCAUUCCUAAACCCAGACCUCCUAAUGUUAGAGUGUCCUUAGGGUAAUUCAGUGGGGUUUUCUUCCCAGCAAGCACCCUUUUCCCUACUUUGAUGUUUCAAGUUCUUUCCUUAGCAUAAAUAUGUGCCUGCCACAGAGAAAGCAUUUGAACCCCCACCUGCCAAAAGCCAAACUUCCACUCUGUCACAGCCAAGCAUUCAGCCAGAGAGGUGCUACAACAUGACAGCUGCUGCUCCAAGUACCUCUCUGAGGUGCUGAGGGUUUUAACCCAGCAAAAUGAGGACAUGGCCCCAUCCCUGAGUGACCUGUGUCCGUGUCAGAGCUUCCCAGCAGUGUCAGCACAUCCCAGGUGAUGCAGGGGGUUUUCCCAAGAAGGGACUGCAGAGGCUCAACAGGGCUGGCCAGAAGAAAAAUCUCUGGAACAUAUUAUGACUGUGACUCCUACCAAGUGAUGUCAGGAGUUCUGAGUACAGCAUGCUAAUUUUGUCAUAUCUCACCAGCUUUGAGUCUUCAUCUCUGCUUCCAUCAUUUUACUACACUUCUAGCUUCAGAGUUUCUUGCUGCAAUUUAUCCUUGGUUUUUCUCUCAUCAGAGUUUUAGCGGGGAGAGGGUUGUGUGAGUUUUCCUCUCCAAGAGGCAUCAGGAACAGAGUUACACUUUGUGUCACAAAGCAUCUCCAUCACCACAGGAAGGGAAAGGAAAGCUUCUGCUUUGGUAUACAUCUCACACUCACAUACAUAACAAACAACAUAUGCAGGCAGGACGGCAAAAUUUCUAGCAUAUGGAAUGAACAAGGAAAUUUUCUAUGAACUUCUGUUUUCACAUACAGCAGCACCUAAGUGUGGCAAUUACAGUAUCAGGAAAGAUGCUCAAAUGUUUAUUUCUCCAUUAGGACUUUACACUGCUAUCUGGUCUAAAUGGUGCAGUGAAUCCCAACAGAAGGAGCUUUUAUGGUGAUAGUGUCAUUUUUGCAUCAAAUACAAGCUGAUGAUCUUCAGCUGAAGGAGAAAGCCAUUAAAAAUUGACUAACCUAUUUUUUAGUCAGAAAAGAGGUUUCAUUUAAAACCUUUGUGUGAGAGGCAAUCCAUUUAUCCUCAAAUACCUGCCCAUAAAGUUGCCAUUAUAUGUAGAUAGAAGACAAAAGAAGAAAAAUAAACCUAUUUUCUUAUUUCCCACACAAUGUGCAAAAACUGUCCACUUCCUAUAAAAGAGGGUUUGAACUGGCUAGGAAUUUAAUGGAUUCUGGACAGGAAAACUCCCUCACUCUUAGAUUCAAUCCUUGGAGGAAGCAAUUGUUGUUAGCUUCUCAGUGGGUGAAUUUUCUCUUCCUAGACUGGCUUAAAUUUCAUAGAACCCACCUCAGGCUAGACCUCAAAAGAUACCUGGUGAGAUCUCUCUUAUGAGAAUCAGUGGGAGAGUCUUGCUGCAGGAUGACAGACCCCAUUUGGAGGUCUUGGACUGUCAGGAAAAAGCAAUAGAAAGGUAUAGGCUUAAAAAGUCUUGCAAGUCUUAUAGUGUGUGCCACUGGCAGCUCAGUACACCCUUGUAUUUUAGGAGAACGUAAAUGCCAGACACUGCUGAGCUGCUUCCAUUACCUCAUUUUUAUAAAGUGGGAUAAAACAGUCAUAGACAUAAGAAAAAACAGUGAAAAAGAAAUGGUGAUUAUGUCAUCCCAGUCUUUCAGUUGCUUCUCAAUUCCACUUUGGUGUUGCACUCCACUGCUCACCCUCUCAAUGCACUCUGCUCUACGAUUGUCCUGAUGUUACUGUCUUUGCUACCUAGAAAACAAACAUGGUUUUACAUGGGUGGCUUACAGGUUCUACAAAAUGAGUCUCAAAUACCUCAUCCCCUGGCGGGGUAUUCGUCAGUGUACACACAUUACGUAGGUACUGCAUUGCUGCAAUAUUUGGGAACUAAAAGCAAGCUAAGAAAAGAGGCAGUAGCUUAUUCUUAAAAAGCAACUUUUGGGCCACCACAGCUGUGCUCUUCUCAUCCAUGUGCCACAGAGAAAGUUCCUGCAUAAGUCUCAGCCCCCUUCCAUGAAGAGGAAAGGGGAAAUCAAAGAUGUGGUAAGUAAACUGUUUCUUGCCCCAGUUUUUUGCUGUAACUGUGAGGAUUUCCAGGCUCUUGGAGCCUGCUCGGCACCCAGUGUGAAAGGCACAUCUUCAGGACUGUUUCUGAGAGGCAGGAAAGGACAGAGGGGCUGUGACUUAGGGGCCAGCACCUCCAACCUCUGUUAUCUACCUGCUGGCAUUCCAUGAUUUUUAAUACAGUCUUUCACUGUGUUUGGAAGGGCCCCUGAUAAUCACCCUUAAAGUGAUCUCACCAUUCUGCUUCAAAUCCUUUUUUUCCACUCUCCUGCAAACCAUUGCCAGAUUUGGGGUGAUUGAUGAUGUCAGUGCAGGAGGUUGUAGCACAACAGAGUGCUACAGGUGUUCCCUGCUCUGGGUGUGGUCUUGCAAAACAUUUUAAGGAUUAUGCACAGCAGACCCCCUGCCUUGUUUCUCAGUGGGUUCUGUACAAAUGCAUUCAGAUCCAUGGCUAGGUUCCAAGUAGACUGUGCUAAUAAAAAGCAAAAGAAGAUGAUUUCCUCAGCUCUGUAUGUAACAUUCAGCAAAAACAACAUCAACCAAAAAAAAAAAAAUCAGGUCAAAUAUAAGCAAUAAACUCUAGGUCAAAUUUAGGUAGUUUUCUUUUAUUUCCUUCCAUUUUAUUGACAAUGAACAACACUUAGUGGGUAAACCUAAAAAUAUACCUCCAGUAACUAUUGUUUUGCCUUGGGUAUUUAUGCAGCAUUCCAGCUACAGCAUCUAAUAGCAUUUCUUUUUCCCCACGCUUACAAAUACACACUCAUACUUAAUACAUUAGCAUUUCCACUAUACAUUUUUGCAGUGUAUCCAGUUAAGCAAAUUGCUCAAUUAGCUGAAUAGGGUUUUUUCUUUUCAUUGUGAAAAGACAAGUCUUACCGAACGGAACGGCAUUCUCAGUAAGAGGUCAGUUGGGUGUGAUUUUUGGAAUAAAGGAGAGAGGAUGAGUGGGUUGUAAAAGAUUUUUUUUAAUUGUUCACAUUUUAUUGCCUUUAAAAGCCAAAGAGAGGGCAAACCAACACACGUCCUGGUUCAUGCUGGUAUGUAACUGUAGUGUGUUGUAGAGAAAGCCCACCAUACUUAGUGGAAUUUUCCUGUUACAGUGUGCACCUCAUGGACACAGAAAAGAUUGUGGGACUGUCAAAUACCGAGUGUCAGGGAACAGUAUAUCCACUCGUUGGUAAAAUAAGUCAGUUAAUUUGGCAGGUAAGUAUUAAGUAAUCAUAUUGUCAGAACAAAGCAAGUGGCUAAGAAAGGAAGACAAAGACGAAAAGGAAAAAAUUCAAAGACAAAAUAGGAAGGAACCAAAGUGGAGAGGGGGAAGGGAGAGAAUGUGUGAGUUUGAUGCCCAGGUGAUGAGAGAGUAAGCAAUGAUGAUCCCUCUGUUCUGGGUGGUUCCAGGUCUCCUCAUCCUACUGUCUCAUGUUGGACUCCACUGCUGCUUUUCCACUGUCUGGGAGAAUCCAAACAUCAUUCCACCCCGGUUUUAUCACUAUGGAAUGUAAUGGCUGAGAAAAACUUGACCGAGUUAGAUAUUUUCUAAUCCAUGUUUUAGAAGAUCUUUUUUCAAGAAAUGUUACCAUCUUCAUGCUCUCUAUGGAUUUUUAUCAUUUUUUGCCUACUCAAGUCUUAGAAAAUAUUAGUUUAAUUUUUUUAAGUAAAUAUUGUUCCAUCUUGAUUUGAGUUUUCCCUUGUUUGGUUUCAACAGUGCAAAAUUUCAAAUGAGCCAAAUGAAUUUUUUAAAUCUCAUUCUGUUUUUCCUGAGGUAAAAAUGUCUGAUAUUUGCCUAGGCAAAGUGUUGCAUCACAUACUCUAUUUAUGUUUCAGCAUUGCCGUGACUUUUAAAAGCUCACAGCAGGAAAUUAAGAAAAGCCUGAACUCAUAAUUAUUAAAUAAUAAUAAAAAAUGUACUCUGCUAAGGUUGCAUUUAUUCAAAAUUGUACAAUUAAUAUAUCCCCAUGUUUCCAUUAAUAUAUAUUCCGGUGGAGAAAUUGAUAGGAAAUGUGGUCAUGGCAUGAACUUUACAGCAGAUUUGAAUAGUCUCUGCUGAGCAGAGUUUAAUUGAGCAAAGCAGUUUGGAUAAGAAGUACUGUACAAAAAUGAGAUUAUCCAUCAUGCCCCAUGUAAAUGAUCAAUAUCCACUCCUUCUAUUGACAGAGUUGGAAGGAUUCUACUUAACACAAUCAGACAUCACAGGCAAUGGGGAAUUUAAAUGUCCCUUCCCAUGUGGGGCAAAUCAUCACUCUCUGAAGCUUCCUCCAGCCUUUACCCUCCUUGCUGUGCAGAUGAAAACACCUGCAGCUUCUAAAGCCAGCCGAGGGCAACAUCACGUAGGGCCCAAAUUUCACCUGUUGCUCUGCCCUGUCCUGGAGCUCAGCCAUCACACAAGUAAAACCUUCCUGCACAGAACAUCGGUGCAGAGCCUUAGCACCAUUUGAGACACUGGUGGCAACAUAACUUUCCUUGGUUUCUUAUUACAAUGGUGAAUUUGUGGCAUCUGUUGUCCUCUGUCUUCACUCAUCAACCAUAAGUUGUUAGUGCUUGCCUUUAUGGUUCUUCAGCAUGUAGCUCAUCCUUCUGUGCCACACAGGCUCUCUUACUUCACGAUUAAUUCCUUCCUUCAGUCUGCCAGCAGUGCUAUCUGACCACUUUCUCACCUCCAAAGCCAGCCCAAGUUUUACUCCUUGCUCGUAAAGAGCUUUUUCACUGGCUCCUGCAGAGUCACUGUGUUAUUUGUCUCUACAUGCCCCACAAAAGCUUUGCCAGAAGGGCCCUCAAAGAACAGACCUAGGAGAAGGACUCAGCACACCACAAUCUUUGAGUGAUGAGAGCCAUGCAACUUUUUUUUCUGUGAUCAUGUGUCUGUUUCAGACAAUCCUGUUCUCCUACUUUGACAAACUCCUAGGCAGUUGGCUGCUACCCUCUCAAAUAUAAAUCCUUGGUGGACUCCUGGAGAUGCUACUGCAAAAGAUACAGCAAACAUCUAGAACCCAACUCUGUCUUCUGAAUUUAUCUUUCUUUACUGAGGACAUGGGACAGGUAAUGUCCCUGGAUGAGGCAGUGCACAGGUCUCAAAAAACACCGGAGCUGAAGGAAUAAGUUCUCAGACUUCCACAUAAUAGUGGGAAGCUUUAAUUUUAUUUUAUUAUUUUAAAACACAUACCCAACAUUGUGAAUAACUGGCAAGAAGCAAGGUUUAAAAGGAGAAAAAAGGUUUUCUUAAGCUUUUUACUUAAAUUGUGUUUAUUGUGCAUGGAAACCAAAUUCACACAGUGUUUAUUUCUUGAAAGCACAGAGAAAAAAAAAAUGUGUUGCUGCUGUUGGAGACAAAGGAUGAGAUGUGCAGGGCUUCCACAGCACCUGACAGAAAAAGUGUCUGAUUCAAGUCAAAUAUAAGCAAUAAACUCUAGGUCAGAUUUAAGCAGUUUCCUUUUAUUUACUUCCAUUUUAUUGACGGUGAACAAACCUGAAAAUAUACCUCAGUAACAACUGUUUUGCCUUGAGUAUUUAUGCAGCAUUCCCUGGGUAUUUAUGCAGGAAAAAGUGUCUGAUUCAGGUCACACUGAUUCUUUACACACUAGUGUACAUUGUAAUACAACAAAGCCAGCAGCUCUUCUGCCUUCUCAAAGAGGAGGCACAACACAAAAUGCCCCAAUCCCCACCCACAACUAAAAGCUUAUUGCCAAAUAUUCACUCAAAUUCAUGCCUGGAGACUAAAUAUUCAGGAGAUAAUGAGCAGAGCCCUGUUACCAUAGGAAAACAUUCUGGCUAUUUAAGUAUCAUGUGCAAGUUCCUCAGAAAAAACAAUUCUAAUAAUAAUUUUGUCUCUGAUAUUAUGAAAAUAACCACAGGUUCUUCUUUAAAGCUACAAAAAACAGCCAGCAAAAAUUUUAUUUCACCAGUCUUCAUUGACAGACUCUCUUGUCUGCAGCAAUUCAGAACUCUGGCUACUGAAGCUCAUUGCUUUUUCUUUGCCUCCCUCAGUGCUGAAGAGAUAUUUAUAACUGUUGCAGUCAGUCUUGAAAUAAGUACACAGCACAAGGGUGCUGCAUGUUACCAGUCAAGCAGAAGACAAAUAAAAAGCAAUGAAAAGACAUGAUAUAGAUACAGGGGGGAUUGUGACUACCAAAGAGCUAAUGGUUUUGUGAUGGUAAGAACUGACUUAGAAGAAUACCCAGUAUUAGUAAUGGUUUUGUUGAAAAAUCUCUUCACACCAUUAAAGUAUUAUGCUGUUCUUUAUCACACUUUCCCUGCUUCUUCUUUUCUUUGCUAGUUGCUUGGGCUUUUUUAUACUCUUUCUUUAAAUCUCCCCUACUGGAUUGAAUAGCAUUGAGCUGCCUUUGCCGUACAAAAUCACAGAUCAGUAAAUUUUUGUUUCAUUCUAGACAUAAUUUGAGACAAUCAAAUUUGAAUGGCAAUUUUGUGUUCACAUUAUUUAUUUAUUAACAGUCUUCGAAAUACAGGGGAAAAGGAAAAUACAAAACCCAUUAUACGCAGGAAAUGAACAAAAAAGUGGGGGAAAAGAAAGAACAAAAAAGGGAAAAUAAAGAAAAUAAAAGAAGUAUUUUUCUCUCUGUUUUUUCUUCUAGAAGAUGAAAACCUACUGAGCCACUCCCUUGCAUGGCUAUGCUCAGUACAAGAGGCUGAAAGGAUUCCAGCAGGACACCACUCACAGAGCUCUCACCAUCUGUCCUGAGCAGCUCCAAUUUAAAUUACAGCUGCCUCAGGUCCGUGUAUCCCUGACCAGCUGAGAGGCACUGGAGUACACCAGCGUGUCCUGUGUGCUUUGCACCCCAAGGAGAGGAGGCUGGUGCAAACCAGCCACAUCAGCCCUGUACCUGCAGCCCCUUGUCCCCCUUUGCAUCCUCUCAGCCAAGAGAUUGGAUGCCAGGAUACACACGGCAUCUCUGCUAGCUCAAAAGCACAGAGGGAGAAGAGUAUGGGACAAAUCUGAGCUGCUCCAAAGCCACAAGCUCUGAUCCUGGGCUAGGUGAGAAUUUUUCACAGGUAACAGGACUGGGAGCUGCCUCGAGCCCCAGAGAAGGAAAAGGACACUCACUUUUUUUUGGACUUUGCCCAAAGUAUUUAUUUCAUUAUUUGACAUUGAUUUUGCUGGAUAAGUAACCAAAGUCCAGGAUCAGAAGAGCAGAUGCAUCUUCAGAAGUGUCAGACUGCACUGUGACACCAGAAUCAGCUGGGCAAAAUUGGUGCAUUUCACAACUGCUUUCUAUUGCUAGCCCAUCACUACAGUCCUGCAUUUAAAAAAUCACUUCAAAUGAAGGAAAGGGAAAAUAUAUUCUUCUUUCUCAUGGCUAGAUUGUCCUCCUUCCUUCCCUUCACAAGAAAUAUUUUUAAUUUAAAUGUAAAAGCAAGUUAUGGGUAUUUAUCUCUUUGUAGAAAUAAAACUCAAUUUUGCUGUAGGGUGAUCUUUACUUUUAAAUAUAUUUCAGUAGUGUUCAUUUAUAUAAUGACAGCCAUACCUCCUUCAUGCAUGACUUAGCUUGCUUUCUGUAUCUUCUCGUCAGAUGAGCUCAAGGGCUGCAGAAGAGGUUCCCAAAUUACAUUUCCCUCAGCCAUAUUUCAGUAUACAAGUAAAUGUCCAAUUUCUACACAUUCUGAGCACUGAGUUGCAGCCCCCUAGGACUACCCCCUCCUUCAAUCUGAAAAUCAAGACCUAAGACUCAAAAAGAAAGCCCAUACUGAAGGCUCCUUCAGUGAAGGUUUUAUGCCUGAAUCAGUAACCUGCUCAGGAGGCUUGCCAGCUUUUCCCAGUAAUAACACUUCACAUUAAUUAUUUGAGCUCAGAUGCAGCAUUUGCAGAAGAAAAACAUUCUGCAGUUUACCAUUCUGGAAAGAUGUGAUUGUUGUGUUGUCAAUAAUGAGAAAGAUUACAGAGUAGGCGAAUUUGUUACAUAUAUGUAAGGCCCAUGAAAUACAUCUCUCUAUGAAUCUUUAAAUAUUAUCAGCCUACAGUAAUUGUUACUUACACUCCACCCACUUCAGCCUUCUUUCCUUCCUUCCUUUCCUCUGAAGAAUAAUUUGACAGUUGCAUUCUUUGAGAAAGUUGAACUACAAAAUUAUUUCUAGGUCUAACAGGGACACAAGUAUGCCAGUGUAAGUACAGUUACAAAAAUGUGGACGAAUUUGAAACCUUCUCUUGGAGGUUAGGUUUCUUGCCUUUCGUUCCUUUUUACUUAUACAAUUUUUUCCCUUAAACUGCUAGGAAACACUAACAAAUGGUCCUUAAGAAAAACAAAAGAAGUGGCCAAGCUCAGGGGAGCAGGGCAUCUGGUUGCACCUCUCUUAUCCGGGAGUUUCUCUCGGAGGGGCAGAGGUACCAGGACAAUUGGGCUGACAAAAG
Molecule: long non-coding RNA, 11464 nt
Organism: Passer domesticus (house sparrow)
Lineage: Eukaryota; Metazoa; Chordata; Aves; Passeriformes; Passeridae
Exons: 3
Source: RefSeq, a predicted model, not a curated record